RNAcentral lists this ribosomal RNA (440 nucleotides) under uncultured bacterium. Its description in RNAcentral is "partial 16S ribosomal RNA". It matches the Rfam family "Bacterial small subunit ribosomal RNA", at positions 338 to 795 of the family's 1533-position model. The record is from RNAcentral.
CCUACGGGCGGCAGCAGUCGAGAAUCAUUCACAAUGGGGGAAACCCUGAUGCAGCAACGCCGCGUGAGUGAUGACGGCCUUCGGGUUGUAAAGCUCUGUCUUCAGGGACGAUAAUGACGGUACCUGAGUAUGACUCCACGGCUAACUCCGUUCCAGCAGCCGCGGCAAUACGUAGGUGGCGAGCGUUGUCCGGAUUUACUGGGCGUAAAGGGAGCGUAGGCGGACUGUUAAGUGAGAUGUGAAAUACUCGGGCUCAACUUGAGUGCUGCAUUUCAAACUGUAAGUUUAGAGUGCAGGAGAGGAGAAUGGAAUUCCUAGUGUAGCGGUGAAAUGCGUAGAGAUUAGGAGGAACACCAGUGGCGAAGGCGAUUCUCUGGACUGUAACUGACGCUGAGGCUCGAAAGCGUGGGGAGCAAACAGGAUUAGAUACCCUAGUAGUC